Molecule: non-coding RNA, 1749 nt
Organism: Chiloscyllium plagiosum (whitespotted bambooshark)
Lineage: Eukaryota; Metazoa; Chordata; Chondrichthyes; Orectolobiformes; Hemiscylliidae
Source: RefSeq, a predicted model, not a curated record
CAUCACCUCCUUGUUCUCGGACUGUAUGCCCCUAUUAAUAAAGCUGAGGAUGCUGUGUGUUUUAUUAACUGCUCUCCUCCUGUUAUGCCUCCUUCACUGAUCUGUGGAUAUAUACCCCAAGUUCCCUCUGCUCUUGCACCCCCUUUAGAAUUUUACCCCCUACUUUGUAUUGUCGUUUUGUUUCGUUCAACCGACAUCCUUCACCAAAUUUGUGUUGAGUCACUUUUGUCUUUAUUUUCCAAUGUUCAUGAAUUAAAACCUAUUUUGUUAAAUCAAACUUCAUUUUCUCCCUCCUAGUAGUUUUGCUGCUAACUAAUAAUAUAACUCCACAAUAACAUGCAGUCUAGGAUCAGGUUGAGUCCAUUUAGCCCCCCAGGAACCUGCUCCGCUAUUCCAUACGAUCGCAGCUGAUCCUAUCUCAGCCUCAGCCCCACCUUCCUGCAAACACUCCCUUUGAUCCAUCACUGAUUAACAAUCUGUCUGUCUCCUCCUCCAAUUUAUGCAGUGUCCUGGGUGGUGAGGGUCAGGGGGAGUGAUUUCACAGAUUUGCAACCCUGUCCUCAUUUGAGAGAAUUCAUUCCCCCUGUUUUCAGUCUGCCCAGCCCCUUAUCCUGAAAUGAUAACCUCUUGUUCUAGAUUCUCCCACACAAGUAAACAUCCUCUCUCCAACUCCUUGUCAAUACCCCCUUCAGCAUCUUAUAGCCCUCAGUUAGAUCUCCUCUCUUCCAAACUCCAGAGAAACUGCUCAAUCUCUCAUCUAAGAUAAACCCUUCCUCUCUGGAAAUGAUUGAGUGAAUCUCCUCUGAACUACCUCCAGUAUAAACUGCAUCUGUCCUCAAGUAAAGAGAUCAAAAUUGUACCAGUCUCUUCUCAUAAGACUAACCUUUCAUCUGGGCAAUCAAUUCAGUGAUUUCCUUUCAACUCCCUCCAAUUCAACUAGAUCCCUUCUCAAAGAAGGGGACCAAAACUGUCUGCAGUACUCUGGAUGUGGAAACCCCAAUUCCUUGUACAGUUGCAGUAACAAUUACCUACUUCCAAAAUCCAUUCCUUUUGCAAUAAAUGUCUUCCUUGUGACCUGCUGUAGACUUUGCACUGAUACUUUGAACUUUUUCUCCUAUUCAGAUGAUAAGUUGCCUUUUUCAAUUCUUCUAACUGCAAUGGAUAGUCUCACCGCUAAUGGGUCUGAUCAAUGCUCAGUUCACUGUCUAACGGAAAUUAUGCUGCUAACCUGCUGAGUGUCAAAAGCAAUUCUUUAGUGUUCAUGUCAAGAUAUCAACUGGACCCCAGUGAAGAACGAACACAGAUCAAAGAUGAAGAAUGAAAUACCUGGCUCUGUGAGGUUGAUGGAAUACCUGGUCACAUUAAAUAUUGUUCCAACCCCGGUUGAUCGCGACGCACUGGUGUCUGCCUUGGUGCUGGGACUGGAAGGAUUCAACGGCCAGCUCUCUCCUGUCUGAGCUAAAGUUGUAAUUCCUGCUGGCAUUAAGGCUUACCUUUGAAAGUAGCAUUGAAAGUACGGUCCUGUACCUCGACACAAUACACACUCUCGAACAAGACGAUUCCCAAUUGGAACCUCCAUUUUAUUGACUAUGGGGGUGAGGGAAACCCCAGCAACAGGAACUGGAACAAAACAAGACAAAGAGGAAAUAAAAGAUUGGAUGUUGAAAUUGUCUUUUUUUUCCACAGACGUUAUCUUCUAUGACAGGAUAAUAAAUGACAGAAAGGAGAAAUAAAACAACUGAGAUUUCA